RNAcentral lists this ribosomal RNA (374 nucleotides) under uncultured organism. RNAcentral's name for it is "bacterial SSU rRNA". It matches the Rfam family "Bacterial small subunit ribosomal RNA", at positions 526 to 896 of the family's 1533-position model. The record is from RNAcentral.
CGUAGGGGGCGAGCGUUGUCCGGAUUCAUUGGGCGUAAAGCGCUUUAAGGCGGUUCGGUAAGUCGGGUGUGAAACCUCCAGGCUCAACCUGGAGACGCCACUCGAUACUGCUGUGACUAGAGUUCGGUAGGGGAUCACGGAAUUCCUGGUGUAGCGGUGAAAUGCGCAGAUAUCAGGAGGAACACCGGUGGCGAAGGCGGUGAUCUGGGCCGACACUGACGCUGUAGAGCGAAAGCGUGGGGAGCGAACAGGAUUAGAUACCCUGGUAGUCCACGCCGUAAACGUUGGGCACUAGGUGUGGGGGAUUAUCAACGUCCUCCGUGCCGUAGCUAACGCAUUAAGUGCCCCGCCUGGGGAGUACGGCCGCAAGGCUA